AGCACCAGAUGGAUGGAAGUAGAGAGAAGGAGAAGUUUCUCUUUCUAACCCAUCGAGAAAGUUUUUGGUAUGCCUGCUCUUCGAUUCUUUCUUCUUCAAAACACAGAGAAGAUCCAUUUCCCCUCCUUUCCUAAGAAAAAACAACACCAUUCUCUUAAUAACAAAAUCAGACCCUAUCUUCCCCUUGACCCCAAGAAGAACAGAAAAAGGAAAAACAAAAAAAAAAAAGAGAAAAACGAAAGGAAAAUCAUAAAGAAGGUGCGAAUUGCUGAUUUUUGCUGAAGCCGAGCUUUAAUUUGUAGAUCUCGUCUGGAUUCACUUGCUAUCAAGCCGUUUUGUAGAUCGUGGUUGUACACCUUUCAUGGAGGUUCUGCUCCCUUUAAUUUAAAAGAUAGACGCUCCAAAAGGUCAUUCUUAUUCCUCUCUUUGUAGUGUUUCUGUGUUUUUGCUUAACUGAUGCUUGAUGUUAAAAAAAUGUAUUUAUUUGGUAGUCCAUUUCUCAAACCCCUAAAGUUAAAUCUUAAUUUUACAGUUUAAUUUGUACUAGCUUGAGAUUGUGCUCUGGUAUGUUUUCUUUUGGUUUAAAACUCCGGCGUCUUUGGAUUUGAGGUUUCGAAUACCAUGCAUAUUUGUUUAGGAAAUACUUUAAAUAUUCAUGAUUUAUUGUUUCCCCUCUUUUGUUUGAUGUGAAUAGGCUGGUGUCGUUAACUUUUCCCUUUUUGUGCAAAGUAUGUGAGUCAGUUUAAGCUUUUGCAAUCGAGGAGUAUCAUCACUGUUGCAACUUUUUAGCUGGAAAAAAACAAGAAAGGCACAAAUACAAAUUCAACGGGUUGAAAUAGGCCUAAAUCCUUAUUUGGUUACAUUUAUCUAAAAUAGGAUAUGAGUUAUAUGGAACCAAAACCCAUUUAUAUUCUCUCCCCAGUUGCAUUAUGUGAUGUCUUUUGGUUGCAGAAGUCAUAAAUAAUCCUGUGGCACGGUUGAUAUAUGGGAGUGCAAGACCUUAGCUACUUUUUAAUUUGACACAAAACCGACAACCUAUGUUUUUAACAAUUCCCUAUUUUGUUUUCCCUAGCUAAAUUGUCUAAAUGAUAUAGUUGGUAAACAUAUUUUGUGUUCAAAUUCUGAUGCCUUAUUUG
RNAcentral lists this long non-coding RNA (1136 nucleotides) under Nicotiana benthamiana. RNAcentral describes it as "long non-coding RNA (NBEN_LNC014444)". Lineage: Eukaryota; Viridiplantae; Streptophyta; Magnoliopsida; Solanales; Solanaceae. The record is from RNAcentral.